RNAcentral lists this ribosomal RNA (257 nucleotides) under uncultured bacterium. RNAcentral describes it as "partial 16S ribosomal RNA". It matches the Rfam family "Bacterial small subunit ribosomal RNA", at positions 524 to 776 of the family's 1533-position model. The record is from RNAcentral.
UACGUAGGGUGCAGGCGUUAAUCGGAAUUACUGGGCGUAAAGCGUGCGCAGGCGGUUUGCUAAGACAGGUGUGAAAUCCCCGGGCUUAACCUGGGAACUGCGCUUGUUACUGGCAGGCUUGAGUGUGGCAGAGGGGGGGUGGAAUUCCACGUGUAGCAGUGAAAUGCGUAGAGAUGUGGAGGAACACCGAUGGCGAAGGCAGCCCCCCUGGGCUAACACUGACGCCUGGAGGCGCGAAAACUAGGAGAGCAAACAGG